GGUUAGGGUUUCAAAGUAGGGUUUGAAAUUAUAGUUGGGAGUUAAAAUCAGGGUUGUUAAUUCAGGUUAAGUUAUAGAGUUAGGGAUUUAAUGCAAAAUUAGGGUUUUAACUGUAGUUGUAAAUUGUGAGAUUAUUGUUGAUCUUGAUAUAUUAAAAUCAAAUUUUUGAGAUAUUGGGUCAUUACUUGUCACUCAAAAUAUGCGUCACACACUCCGACAGACGGCCCAGCAAAACGCCGUACAUUUAUUGAGACUCUCCAACAAAGGUGCAGCCAAAGAUGGAGAAAUCUUUGGCUCCACAUAUGCAUGUGAGCGGCUCUUCCGCACCAUGAACGAUGCUCAAAACAAACACCGCUCAUGCCUCACAGACAGCAGUUUAUCAUCUUGCGUAAAGACGAAGGCGGCUUCCUACCGCCCUGAUUUGCAGACCGUUCAGAAACCAAAGUCCCAUUUACCAGGUAAAAUAAAUAUUCUUUUUUUUCUGGGGAAAUAUCUCGUUUCCUGCACACAUCUUUUCAGCUGCUUUUUUUUAAUACUGCAAGGUGCCAAGCAUUCUGCAAGUGUGUUUGCCUGCAGCUCUCCUGCCAACGCGGACACAAGCAGUGGAAAAGCUCCCACAUGAUCGGAACAUGAUGUCAGAUGGGUGUGUGUCACUUUGCCAUGGAGAAACACACAAAGGAGCGUGUUUGUUUGUCUGCCCUGCGUAUUGAUUUGCCAUUUUGUUGCGUGGGGUAGAAAAUCCAUGGCUCUCCUUUUAAAUAACCAUCACAAGAGGACAAGCGAGAUCUAUCACGGACAAAGCGUAUCGGAUGGAAACACCCGGGACGCAGGCGUGACACUUCAUUCGGUCUGGACUGCCGUCGACCUUAUAAAGAGGAAGCAGGGCAUGAUUUGACUUGCGAUUUCACAAUUCGGAGGGGUCUUUAAUUCAACUGAGCAGCAGUGUUUGUCGGAGCUUUGCCUCGAUUUGGUCGACUAAAUCUUAAAUUUCCUCUCACAAACCUACAUCGUCUGACUUGGAGUACCACAGGGAUCAUUGCUCGCGCCACUUUUGUUUACGACUCAUCGCAAGCAUCUUCCAAAGUGCAGAAAUUCCUUGAAAAUUACAUUCUAUGUAAUUUGAAAGGAAUUGAGACAAAGAAUUGCAGGUCAUCCUCCCCUAUUCUUUCUCAUUAUACGCCUGAAAUUAUUCCAAUCAUGGCUAAAAUAGUUUUUGUUUGGUUGUGCAAUGGAAUCUAGAUUUUCACUGGAGAGGAUGCAUUGCAAUAGCAAAAGAAUGUCAGACUCUUAUGGUAAGAGAUAAAAUAAAUAGAACAAAAUAAUAGAGUAAUAAAACACAAUGAAACGCUUGCUCCUUCAAUUGAAACAAAAAUUCCAUGUCCCCAAAUUAUUCACACUUUUUCUGUUGCUAGUUAGCAAGAUUACUACAAAACCAAAUGUUCUUUGAAAAACAAACAAAACAAAACAUAAAACAUAAUAGUCGAAGCAAAAAUGGCUGAAUAUUUUUUCCUUUUUGUUGUUUUGAAGGAAGGAAGGCAAGCAGACAGACGGAAGGAAAGCUCAAUAGUGCAAAAACAAUUCUGCACGGCCUUAUGUCAGAUGUGACAAAUGUUACAAAGAGGUCACACUUGUCAUUAGAAGUAGCACGAAGAGCUCCUCCACUCCCUUUGACGGGGAUUAAGUUUGAAAUAAAUCUCAUUAAAGAACAAUAUUCUGUGCUUAAGAAGAAUACAUUGGUUGUUGUUGUUGUUGAACAACGGUUUUCUCCACACGGCUUGCUCCACACGGCUAACAGGUUAGCUAUGCUACCUUCGUUCUGACAGCCAGUGCUACAUUAAGCAAUUGGAUCAUAAACGUAAUUCUUGUCCCUGCGCAUCUACGAAUGAAUAAUGUUAGUGGUGGUGGGUGGGCAAAGUGAUAAAAUGGUAGAAUGCAAUGCUUUUUUUUUUCCGAACCGCCCAUAAUAAGGGACCGGAGCCAACUGGCUGCAAACGACAUGAAAACUUUGAAGCCAAUCCAUGUUAGCAUGUGUGAAGAAAGCGAUUCAUGCGUUUGACGACUUUGUGGUUUGAACCAGCCAUAGCGAAAAACAGUCAACUGCAAUUCUGGAGAUUUCUGUGCCAACAGAAACUGUGAAAUAUAGCAUGUUUCUUUCAAAUAUAUGGUUCCCCCCUUGUAAAGUAUUUCCAAGUCGCCUAGCUUAAGCUGGCAUGCAUUACAAUGAAAACGUCAUGAAAUAUGCCUGUUUUACGCCAAACAAUAGUCAGACAAAGACAUAAACAAAACCAUAACAAUGCUUUGGAAUUCUCUUCAA
Hippocampus zosterae (dwarf seahorse) is the source of this 2314-nucleotide long non-coding RNA. RefSeq lists it as uncharacterized. The record is from RefSeq and is a predicted model, not a curated record. The transcript is spliced from 3 exons. NCBI's taxonomy places the organism in Eukaryota, Metazoa, Chordata, Actinopteri, Syngnathiformes, Syngnathidae.